This 253-nucleotide ribosomal RNA is filed under the name uncultured bacterium. Its description in RNAcentral is "partial 16S ribosomal RNA". It matches the Rfam family "Bacterial small subunit ribosomal RNA", at positions 524 to 776 of the family's 1533-position model. The record is from RNAcentral.
UACGGAGGGUGCAAGCGUUGUUCGGAAUCACUGGGCGUAAAGGGCGCGCAGGCGGCCUGAUCAGUCAGAUGUGAAAGCCCACGGCUUAACUGUGGAAGUGCAUUUGAAACUGUCAGGCUUGAGUACCAGAGGGGAAAGUGGAAUUCCCGGUGUAGAGGUGAAAUUCGUAGAUAUCGGGAGGAAUACCGGUGGCGAAGGCGACUUUCUGGCUGGAUACUGACGCUGAGGCGCGAAAGCGUGGGGAGCAAACAGG